AUAGACACCUCUUUGGGAGGCUGGGCACAGUGGCUCACGCCUAUAAUCCCAGCACUUUGGGAGGCCGAGGCAGGCAGAUCACCUGAGGUAGGGAGUUCAAGACCAGCCUGACCAACAUGGAGAAACCCCAUCUCUACUAAAACUACAAAAUUAGCUGGGCGUGGUGGCACAUGCCUGUAAUCCCAGCUACUUGGGAGGCUGAGGCGGGAGAAUUGCUUGAACCGGGAGGCAGAGAUUGCGCUCAGGUUUCAGCUCCUCGGAAGAAAGCAGUUCUUGUGAAGUAAGAAGAAGGCGCCCUAGGAACAGGAAUCCCACCUUGAAGAUUGCUUCUCUAACCUGAACGUUGUCAGCCCAACUUCAGAGCAAAGUCAGGAAACUGCCAGAAAGGGCAGAGCCUGACAGUUUGCACAGCCUGAAGUAAUUCUUCCUCCUGCUCAGAAUGAGUGAUGCUCUGUAAAUGUUAUCACAUCCAGAAGGUCUCCCCACUAUGAUGAAAGGUUUGGACCACGUCUCAGAAAAGAUAUGUGACUGGACUGAGUGGUGGAAAGGGGGCCAAAGAAACUUUUUCCCAUAGACGAGUGUGUAACCAGUUGGUGGGCAGCAGUUUUUAGGAAGCUGAAUCUCAAAGGUCCGUAGCAGGCCAGAUCUCGCAUGACCACCCCUGUGUUCUUCUCCCGUAACUGUACAUUCAGCUUCCCCUGCACUUUCCCAA
This 712-nucleotide long non-coding RNA is filed under the name Homo sapiens (human). RNAcentral's name for it is "novel transcript". The record is from RNAcentral. Lineage: Eukaryota; Metazoa; Chordata; Mammalia; Primates; Hominidae.